UUCUCAACAUCAAACUUAGGCUUCCAUGCAGAAGCCCGAUAGGACUCUGCAACUUUCUCAUCCUUUGAUAUCAAAAUGUUGUCAAACAAAAUACCAUCCUGCAUUGUCCAGAUCUCAAUGCCAACAGCAGCAAUAGGCUCAAAGUCAGGUUUGUCAAGCUCAAAAUAGUUGGGGUUUGGAAUCUGCUGAGGCUUCCAAAUACCCUUGUAAUUAGGGUUGUCAAUAUGUGGAGCAUGCCAUUUGCCCUUGUAGGCAGGAUUCCUCUUCAUUGGCCUCUUCCACUCGCCGCAUCCAGGGGCUGCUUCACACUUUGGGUUAUCAAUCUUUGGGGCCUCCCAUUCACCAUCCUCCUCAUCAUCCCAAUCCUCAGGUUUUGUGGCCUCAGGGUCAUCUAUCUCCUCAGGGUCAUCAUCCAGCCAUCCUUCAGGUUUCACAGCAUCCUCAUCUUCAAUUUCCAUGGGAGCAUCCUCAUCCCAGUCUUCAGGUUUUACUGCAUCAGGGUCAGGAAUCUUUGCCCUCUCAUCCCAAUCCUCAGGCUUCUUGUCAUCUGGAUCAGGAAUUGUCUUCUCAGGAAUGAGCGGUGGCUGAAAAUCAUCAGCAGCGAGGAAAUUUGCCUUCUGCUUCUCCUCUCCAUCAAUUAAAAUUCUCAACUCAUUAUCAGGUUUCAAGAUGGCAGUGUAUACAUGAGUCAGUUUAUCAGAGGGCACAGAAGGUGGGUUCUUGAGAUGGUGUUCAAUGUACUCUCCACUCUUGGGAUUCUUAUGCUUUAAGAUGAAGUGCACCUUGUUUGUUGCACCACAUUUAUCAGGUCCAAACAUAAUCAUAUACGGAGAUUCAUUGUCGAACUCCUUGGAUACCCAACCUGCCUCCUGAGGCCGCAGGUAUUUCAGAUAUGCACCACCACAUUCAAGACCAUUCUGGAGGCGAACCUCAUACUGGAGGACAACAGUUCCAUCCUUCAAACUCAGGGGCUCAUCAAGCUCCUUCACUAUCGCGUACUUCUUUGCCGGCUCACCAACAAGAAGGCCAUAAUCUUCAUGACCCUCACUCUUUGAAUGCUUCCAUACACCUAAAACCCAAAACCACACAGAAAAUGUUAAUGUCCAUCCAACUUCACGAACCAACCUAAUUUCCAAACUCAACCUAACUACAUUCUGACGUUUGACAUAGAGAACUCUGGAUGAUAAAUUUUUCACACAUCUGAAGUUGGGCACAUAAACCAUUUUAUUGCAUUUUAAUCAGUUCAAGACAAUAAUCAACGAUCUCUUCACUGUUAUUUUGGAUGUUCCUUAUGUUUCUUGAAGUGUUUUGUGUAUAAUAUUAAUGCAAAUGAAAUAACCCCUAGAAGGUUUCUCUUGUUGCAUGAGACAAAUAAGGCAUUCUUAUGCUCCUUUCCUAAAGUAAGCAAAGUGCCAUUGGACCAGUAGCAGAAAAUUUGGGUCUCCUACAUACGGUACACAUUAAACCACACACAACAACAACCCAACAAAAAUUUGCACCUGUGCAGGAACAUUCCCGACAGCAUACAUACACAACAACUAACUUUUCGAUGAUACACUCUUUAUAUAUAUACACACAUAACGGAUGCAGUCGUUCUCUGGUAUAGGAUCCUCACUUUGUUAAAGUCCGGGACCAACGACCAACUUUAGUCGCAGAUUAUAAGUCCGGAUUGAAAAAUUUUAUAUAUCCUCGAGAUUUCAAAUAAAAUCUACUUACUACACCAAUCAUUAAUUAUUAAAAUCACCAAUAAUUAACACUCAGCCAUUAUCAGUACAGAUCAAAAAAGAAAAAAGAGAAAGAAACUAACCUUUGUAUUCAUCUUUCUGAGAAACGAUCCAUCGUCCGUCGAACGACUCGUCAUACGACUCGUACAAGAUCUGAAACGUUACAUCAUCAGAACCGUAUAUAUACGACAAACACAAAUUAUACAGUACUAGAAAUAAUAAUGCAAAUACGCGCAAAUGUAAAUAUAGAAAAAGAAAAUAUGGUACCGUGGCAUCAUCAGAAGCGGAGAUCAAUUGAAAUGAAACGAAAGCAGCGAAAAGCAGGAGAGCGAACCGCAGAGAGACAGCCAUUCUCUGCACCAUGUGUGAGAGAGAGAGAGUCCGAGACCGCGAUCUGAAUCUAAAUCUUAAAAUCAAUCAACCCAAGUGCUACUAAAGUUGUUACUCGGUGUUGUAACUUGCGAGAUCUUAUAUAGAUCUUUCUAGAGACUGCCAUCGACUUGUUUCGUCCAAUGACAAUUGAUGCCACGUGAUAUUAUCCAAUCGCUGUUUGCCACGUCCACGGUUCCAUCAAUGCCGCUUCUAUUUGUUUUAUGCGUGAUUUCUUGUCCAAUUAAUUUUCGUGCGAGACCCGCUCCAUAAUUCUUGCGCGGUCAAGGCCCGUUUUAGUCUUUACAUUCAACGGCCCGUUUUAUUCAGCGAAAUUGAUUUAUUAGCAUUUUUGUUUCGGCCACCUCACACCCUCAAAUCUCAAUGUCGACCCAAUUCAAUAUUCAUUACACCUCCCCCCACCCCAAAAAAAAAAAAAAAAAGACGGUAAAUAUAAUUUCACUGAUAAUUUAUAUGGAAUAAAUAUUUUAAUAAGGAUCAAUUACUUUGUUAAAGUCUAAAAGACAAAAAGAUACAGCAUUUCAGUAAAUUAAAAGAUAAAGUAUAUGUGUUUUGUUAAUCUUUUAGUUUAUCCCUUCUUAUUACUCAUGCUUGGCAAACUUAUUUUGAUACUUCAACUACAUAUAUCUAGAUUCUCAACAUAUUUCAUAUUUGUAAAUUACUUUAAUAAACAUAUUUGUACCUUGAACGGCCCAUUUGAUGUGCCCAAAAAUAGGCCCAUUCAGCGAAAUUGAUUUAUUAACACUUUUGUUUGGCCACCUCGCACCCUCAAGUCGAUCCUAUUCAAUUCUUAGUCAAAAAAAUUAGAUACGGUAAAUAUAAUUUCACUAAUAUUUUAAUAUGAAAAUAAAUAUUCUAAUAAGGAUCAAUAACUUUAUUAAAGUAAGAUAUCAGUUAAAAGACAAAAAUACACUAAUUUUAAUAUAUUAUAAGAUAAAAUAUGCGUGUUUUGUUAACUUUUUGUUUAUCCCCGAAUGGAUCUCUUAUUAUUACUCAUGCCUGGCAUAGUUCGAAGAUACUUCAAUUACGUAUAUCUAGAUUCUCAACAUAUUUCAUAUUGCAAUAUAGUUGUAAAUUAUAACCAAAAAAAAAAUAUACUUUUGUUUUGAUCCAAAAAUAGCUCACUCAUCAAAAAUAAUUUCCCCCCUAACGGACACUCAAAAAAUAGUUUGUUUUAACAUAUUAUAUAUUGCCGUAAGGAGUUAAAAUAAUUUUUUUAAAGUACAAAUCUUAGUAUUUAUUUUUUAAAAAAAAAAAUUGACUAAAGUUUUUCAAAACUACUUAGGCUAUAUAACUCAGGCCAGCUCUCCUUGAAAUAGUUAUACACCUUAAAGGGGUUCUAUCAUAGUCGGACCCUAACUACAAACAUAACAACACUAACUGAAUUAUAUAGAAUUAGCCAAAGUAUCGGCAUAAGGACUCCAUUAAAUUUCAGCCGUUGCCUCGUCAGUUUUAUGGUUUUAUGUUGUAAUUAACUUCCUCGCAUUUGUGGUUUUUGCAUUAUAGCACCCGCGAAUCAAAAUCUUGACUCUGCUACCAUUAAUUGUUGCAAAAAAUAUCUUAAGUUCUGUUCACAACUGUUGGUACUCCAGACUAAUUUCAACAGCACAGUUACAAUGUAUGGUAAUCAAUUGCAAAGAAGCUGCAAACGAUCAUGAUCAUUGUUUUUAGAGUAAUGAUAGAGUAAUAGACUACAAUAUUAUAUUUAUUUGUACAAACUGAAAUGUACAAUUGAUGUGACAUGAAUGUAUUGAUUGGAUAAAAAUUAGGCUUUUGUUUAGUUAUAUAAUAAAAUCAUGUUAUGUAGCAGUCGUUACAUGAAAAUCCAACGGCUGUGAAAAUAUAGGAUAAUAAAAUCAUGUUAUUUCCACAGCCGUUGAAUUUUCAUCCAACAACUGCUAUAUAAUCAUAUAUGUUACAUGAUUAUGUAACAUAACAAUCUCUUAAAAAUGAUCAUAUACUCCAGUUAUUAUAUAUUUUCAUUCAUAUAUUAUACAAUUUUUAUGCUUUUCAUUCGUCUAAUAUCUCACGCUACAUAGUUAAUACAAGUAGUUUGUGUGUGAUUCUAUCAUUGCCACUGUUUUGAUAAUUGUCCAAUUCGCUGUUGUGCGGUCAAAUAUGUAUAUAAAUGAGCCUUAAUCUUUGGUGAAUAAACAAUGUUAUCAAAAUUGACUCAUUCUCAAUUACAAAGGUCAAGAGAAUGUUGACAUCUUUUGCAGGGAAUUCAACCUUGAUGGGCACUAAAGCUAAUUUUUAAGUAGAUCGAAUUCACAUCUGGUGCAAUAUUCUAGAUUUAAUUGGGAAGGAGGCCACUACUACCUAGCUACCUGCCUACCUUAUAUGUACACUUUUGAAGAGAUAUACAAGAUAAGCCCUUGAAAGGCUUGGAGCGCAUAUAUUGUGCUACAACCACAUAGCAUUCAGUUCAAAGAGCUAGCAUAGGCUCUAAGCCUCUAACAUCCAAUUUAUUCAUUUAUCACGAGCACAUAGAAUCGCAAUUGGUCCUGUUUUGACAGUAUCAUGUGCAUGCGGUGAUUAGGGUAUUGCUAGUCGUAAAGCCCAUUUAGAGAAAAUUUCGAAGUUUUUUUUUUCCCCCUCUAGGUUUCUCUCAUUCUGAGAAAGACAGUCGUAAUAAUCUUAUAGCAAAUUAAUAUUUUAUACAGCUGCAAAACUAUUUAUCAAUGAAGCGGAACAGCAUAUACUUUAAUUCUUAGACUGCCUCCUCCUCCGGACCCUUAUCAGAAUUAUAAUGAUUAGCAAUCCCCCGAUAAUACGUGUUGAUUUUUGCCAUUUGUGCAGUACAUAAUAAUAAUCUUGAUUCUUAUUAAUUCUUGUCAUAUAUGCACCACAUAAUUAAAUUAAUAGUCUCGAUUAUAUACGUAUGCGUGUAUCAUGAUCGAUGGUCUUGAUCCCUGCAUAUGUGUAUCACACUUAACGGUACGUGCCGUAAUAUUCGUAUCAUAAUGGCCUUGAUGAAAGAAUUAAUCUUUAUGUGAUAAAGGGAUGCCCUAGUUUGUCUGCACAACAUUAAUUCAAGGUUGUCCGGUUCAACUGCUGGUUAAAAAUAUUGACAUGCAUGAUCAAAGUCUAUGAACAAAUUUCUAUAUCUUGGGCUAGUGAGUUGUAAAAUUGCUAUGAAAGAUGAAUAUUGUCGAUGAAUUACCUUCAUAAUGUAUACAGCCAGAGAAGAUCCCAGGGAGCUCAUCUCAUUCCCCCCCACCAUUGUGACAGACAAGAAGGCUCUGCAAGUUAUUUACAGAAGCAUUUAUAGAGCUGCUAAGUCAGCUAUAUAAUUAGUUAGAGUUAGUUUUACAGUCUUGAUUAGGAAUAUAGUUAAAUCAUUAGAUACUCAUCGUAAUUAGCUAGUGUAAAUAUAGUUACAAUUGUACAGAGCACAUUAGUAGUGAUUGAAUGACGAAAUCAGUUUGUCAUUGUUUCUCUCACAUUUUCUCUCAUUUUCUUUGUUCCCAAACAACUGUUUCUUACAUAUUACGUUUCAUAACUUUGAAAGCUUAUGCUGAUUAAUUGCUCCAUUAGUUACAAGAUCAAACUUCUCUGUAAGCACAGCUGACAAACAACACCCCGUUGACUGAAUUCCAAUUCAUAUCGUGCAAAAGAUGUGCUGAUGUUGUGGAAAACUUUUCAGCUCGGACUAACUAAUAAAUAAGUAAUAUUGUAUAUCUCUUACUUAAUUUUGAAGCUGAAACUUAUGUACAUCAACAUACCUGGUGCCAUCAUGGUUCAUUUCAGAUCAAAAUUUGAUUUCCUGAUCUUCUUUACCGCUGCCGGCACGCCAGAUUUCACAGCUAAGAGCCUAUAUUUUCCGAACUGCCCUACCUCAACGGCGCCUUCUGUAUCAGAAGGAAUGAUUUGCAAAGCCAAGAGGAGCCGUUGAGGGAGAGAGUUCGGAGAACGUUAGCUCUCAAAAUUAAUUUUCCCAUUCAAAGAGACAGCUGAAUUUACUUUUUGAAUUUGAUGAGAUGGGGAUGUUAUUGCUCAGGGUUUUGGGGUACUUGUAGCGUUCAUUCAGGGCUAGGGUUUUAUUACAUGUAUAUCAAAGGCCAUUUUUUUUUUCAAGGACUUGUUUCAACCAAUGUUAAGGGACUUACAGAAAAACUACUCACAGAAUCACAGUCAUCUUAUAACGACAUUUUAUAAAAGUCCACGAUGUAUAAUAUUUAUUCAGUGACGCGUCUUUGGUAACAUCCUAAGAAAUUGGAAUUAUACACAGGUUUAUUCAGUAAGCACUGGCAUUAUUUGGUGUCUAAGUUGGUUUUCUGAAGAAAAGAAAGGAAUUAGAAGCUAGCCCACAGAGAUUUGGACGAAUGGACAGUCUGCAUUUGAUCACAAACCGCAUGCUCCACUUGUUUUAAGUUUCAAUUAGUAUUAAUUUUGGUAGAAAAUAAGGCCAGCUCAGGGUUUCCAUCUAAGCAAAUACCUCAGCUACUUCAAAAUAGCUAGAGCCAGGGCCUAGGGGUGGCCGGGCGAGGCCCUAGGGCACGUUCUAAUUGAGGUUUUUGUAAUUUUGGAGAGGGGGACAAAUAAUAACAUUAUGUCGGGUUAUGGUUUUAAACAAGGACUCCUGCUUAAUUUGUCCUAACUAGAUAGGGUCUGCAGCUUUAGGCUUCUCCGGCAUCAAAGAAAAGGGCAAAUUCAGUUACCAAUAUUUACUCUCUAGGUACCGCAAUAGUACUGCUUCCGCCAGAGCAUAAUCUUAUGUCUCUAGACAUAAUCUUAUGUCAUUGGCUAAGCUAAUUAAGAAGAAGCAUGUGUUUGGCAACUUUAUUCUAACCUAAUUUUACACACACACACACAAACAAAAAAAAAAAAAAGAGAAAUGAGUAUUUCUCCAAGAGCUAAUAGUUCUUCAAAAACAGUUGAUUUUUUUCCCCCACAAUCAAAGUUCAGAACUAAACAAUUUAAAUUAAGUACCUGUUAGAACUAAUUAAUCAUUCUGAUGCUGUAAAAAUUUCUCUCAAAUAAAAGGGGGAAAAAAAAAAGAACACCAUGCACGUACAGAACUGAUUAAAUGGAGUCAUAAGCUUUCGACCUCCCCCUAGGGUUUCCAACAUUCCCAUGCUUACAAGGCCAAUUUGAGGAAGCAUGGUAUAUUGGAAGCCUUCGAGGGAGGUUGGAAGCUUCUCCAUUUUUAACUUAUAAACAAUUAUGCUUGCUUGUUUGUUUUUCGCUAUGGCUAGUUAGAUUUAUAUAGGGAAAAUGAACCACUAUUUGGGAAUAAAAAUCUUGUGCAAUCCUCCGUACAAGGUGAUUCACAUGUUUUUAGAGUUCUCCAAUUUCAAUGAGAAGCAUAAUGUACACCUUAUUUAAAAGGGAACUCAAAGGCCUACACUACCCCCGUCUUACUGCUUAGAAAAGAAUCCACCAUAGAUUUGUUUGGUUUUCCUAAAUCUGUUGGCAAGCAGCAUACUGGAUUUUUUAUAUCCGUUUCUGAUUUGAACUGUGCUGAUAUUUUGAUGAUCUUGUGACACAUGGACAUUUAUAAUAUUGUAUAGUUGAGAUGUAAUCACAACCUUAUACAAAGAAGAUCACACAAAAAUCAUAUCAGCAUUGACUCCGAAUCCAUAUGUAUGUAGAUAGAUGUAUGCCAACUACAUCCAUAAUUAUUUCGAAGAAUAAAUUAAAGAUCUCAAAUUGACUCAUGGCUCAUUACAAAGGUCAAGAGAAUAUGAAUCGGGAAAUUCAACCUUGAUGUAUAAAGAAACUAAUUUGGUUAAUGGAAUUCAACCUAGUGCUCAAAAGAUGCCACUCACAGUCCAGCUAGUUGCUACCUACCCUACAUAUCAUCAACGUGGAAAUGGAAUCCUAUCCAUUGGCCCGGAAAGUCAACUUGAUUAAGUUUCUGCAAACAUUAGCCCAUCAGCCAGCCUUAAAAUGCAUAUAUUAUGCUGAGAAAGACACCAUAAAAUGUUCAAACACUUCAAGGAGUUUGGCUCAAACAUCCCUGUUUUCAUAGGAGAUACAAAUGAAUUGAUUACUGCAGCUGCCAACCUACAUGCAUUCAUCUAUUAAAAUGAAACAUGUUUAUAGUAUUUUUUAGUGGGAAGAGAAGAAUGCUAUCACAAUAAGCUAGCUAUCUAUCACAGUUGGGAAUAUUUGAUCCGGUGCAUUAGUGCAAAGAAAAGAAUGCUAUCUCUUUCCCAAAAUGCAUACAUAUCUGAUCUGCUGUGAGAAUAUUAUCUCUCAAAUAUUCCCCAUGUGGCAGAUGUGAAGAGACAUGUGUCUUGAGUAAUAAUAGAAAACAACAGAAAGGAAAACUUCUUGUUUACUUAAAAAUGUAUUUUUCCUUCCAUUAAUACAAUGUUCCGCGAAGUUGUAAUUUCAAAGCUUCACUUUGAAAGAUAUCAUAUGAAGGUUAAUUGAUUCAGAUUACAAAUUUAUGUAUAAGAGAUUGAUUGAAAACCCCUCUUUCUUUCUAUGUCGUGUCAUCCAUUUUGUGGAUGUUAAGACUGAAUAAUAAAUUAUAGAGUAAAUUUUAUACGGAAAGAAAUGAUUGAUGGUAAGUCACUUGAGAUAGUAUCCUAACAGCGAGUGUAAACAUAAUAUUAUUGGGCCUAUAAAAUACAUAAAUAGCAAACAAAGUUUAUAAGUAGCUUAAAAGAAUUGACUUUUUAAAACAAUUGAAGCAUAUCAUUAUAUCACAAUUAAAUCCAUCCAAACAGUAAUAAAUCAACUUAAAUUUACAUGGCAAAGCAUUGGAUCUCAAAAUAGGACCAUCCAUGAAUCCUAUUGUAGGGAUCUUCUUACUUUUAUUUAAACGUCUUAGCACGUUAAGGUUGUGAGAUUAUCUUAUAUAAAUUUUUCUUCCCAAAUAGACAUCACGAUUCACGGAGUUCAAGCAUCUCUCUAGUUCUUGUGUAUAUAUCUUAUAAUGGAUUACCAUAUUGCAUUAGUACAUAAUUCUUAAGUAUAUAAUUUUAUAGGGGUUGAUGAAUCAUUUGAAAGGGAUUUGUAUAUUUGAGUAAUUUGAAACCUCCUUCUCAUUUACAAUGAUUCCUUACUAUUAAUUAACCUUUUGAAGAUUUUACACUUUUUAAAAAGUAGGGGAGUAGGGAAAAUCAAAUUGAUUUUUUAACCACCUACCUUCCUAUUAUUUGAAUGUAGAUGGUAUAUAUAUAUAUACACACACACACACACUUGAAAACACUUGAUCAAGCUUUUGGAAAUUGAAACUUUUUAACGGUUUUACAUUGUUAACUACCGAAGAAUUCUAUCCAAUGUGAGAGUAGAAAUAGGGAUCUACCCGUUCUUGGCAAUAUAAAAUAUGUGUAGUUACAUAAAAUAAGAAAUAAAUUUUUGUUUUUUGUUAUGUAAACUUUUGAUCUUCAUUUUCACAAGAUUAUAUUUUUUCAUUUUUUAUUUAUUUAAUUUUUUUACUAUUAACUGUAAUUUUUAUAAUUUUUAAUUAAUACAUUAUUUUAAUUUAAUCUUUAAAUUUAUUUAAAAAAAAAAAAGCAAACGAUUUAGAAACUGGUUAGACCAAGUCUUUGGCUACCAUAUCGGCCACAUCCUUGUUAUAGAGUUUCACGGCCAGCCGCGUAUGUUUAACCUUUAGCAAGGAGCUGUAGUUAUUUUUUUAAAUAUGCAGUGCAGGCAGCCAGCCUAAUAUGUAUUAUACGAUUCAUUGAUAUGCUUAAUUAUUCUAACAUCCUAUGAAUUUGCAAUAUGAUUAACGCAUAGAUUACGCAUAUGACUCUAGCUGCCGUAGCUUGUUUGGAGAUGAUGAUAUAUGCGUAAUGGGAUGGUGGUAACUGGCAACGAAAGAAAUUAAUAUAUAAGCCCUCGGCACAUGAAAAAGAGUGCAUCCCACAACAUCAUUUGAAUAUAACAUUACUGAAGUAUUAAUAAUUAAUUACAUCUUCUAUAAUAUGAAAUUAAUCUAUCAAGUAAUAUAAAUAUUAAACAAUUUGCCUCAUACAAUUGCCACUGCCCUUUACCACUUACAGUUUCGAAGAGUUGCACCAAAUUUUUAAUUAAAAUAUUAUUUUAAAUGUACUAUAUACACAUAUACAUCACUUGACCGGCACACCAAUGUUUGUUGGCAAGCUCACAUCAAACUUUUCAUAAUAUGUUGUGAUGUUAGCUCAUGAGUUAAGGAAAAUUUAUUAAAAUAGUCAUUAUAUUUUUAUAUUUUUUAAAUUUAAUCUUUCAAAUUUUUUUUCUAUCAUAACUAGUCAAAUGCUAAAUUUUUGGAUCGAUCAAAUUGUUCUCGCUACUUUCAUCAAAUGUUCAAACAAUGCCACUCUUGCAAUACUCAACACUCUCAACAAACCUUAACACUCUCAACACCCUCAACAAAUAGGGAUGCCAAAUAUCCAAUUAUGGAUAGAUAUUAUCCAUCUAAAUACAAAUCCAUAAUUAUCCAUAAUGAAUAUAUCCAUAUCCAUAUCCAAUAGUUAAUAUUGGGCAUGGAUAUGAAUUUUAUCCAUAUAGAUAUGGAGAUCCAUGGAAUUUUAUUUUUAUUAUAUAAAAAUAAUAAUAUAAAAUAGUUAAAAUUCCAAUAUCAAUUUUGGCUAUUAAACUAUUUAUAUUAGUAAUAAUAUAUAUAUAUAUAAUAAAAUGGUGGUCCGGUGGCCGGUGGCGGAGGUCCGGCAACUUUCCGGCGACCUUCCGGCGGUGGUCUGGUGACUUUUCGGUUGAGGUCCAUUUAUAAUAUUAAAUCAAUAAAAUAAAAUAAUAAUUGUUAAUGGCAUUAAAUAAGUUAAAAAAUUGAAUGAGAGAGAGAGAGAGAGAGAGAGAGAGAGAGAGAGAGAGAGAGAGAGAGAGAGAGAGAGAGAGAGAGAGAGAGAGAGAGAGAGAGAGAGAGAGAGAGAGAGAGAGAGAGAGAGAGAGAGAGAGAGAGAGAGAGAGAGAGAGAGAGAGAGAGAGAGAGAGAGAGAGAGAGAGAGACUAGUUUUGAGAAUUGUAUUCAAGUUUCCUAAAAUGCUAUGGGGGUUAUAAUCUUUAUUGUAGUAGAUAAAUAUAAUAACUCAAAUAGUACUAAUGGAAAAGACCCUAAAUCUUAGAAACUCUUAAAUGUUAAUGAAUGUAUAAUUUAGUAUAAAUUAAUGCCAAGGCUUAUUAGGGGAUCCAAGCAUUCUUGUUUUUGGAUUGCAAAAGAUGAAUAUUGUUUGGAUGGGACUAUUAGCAUUUAAAAAAAUAUUUUGAAUAUAAAAAUAUCGUUUAUGUAAAAUACUAUUACAAACAAUAUCUAUUAUGAGCUGAAUAUAACAUAAUUAUUUCAAGCACCCUUAACACAAACCCAUUAUUCAACAUACAAUAUUUUUUCAUAAAUUCUGAAUUUUUUGUUUCCAACAUCUUAAAAAAAUGUUAUAGUAAAAAAUAUUUGCCUAUAAGGUAAGUGUGACCCUUUCAUUCUUUUUCUAAAAGUAAAAAACUAUUAAGAUAGCCGUCUUUUUUGCUUAUGAUUUUCAAAAAAUAAAAAACAUAUCUUAAACCCCAAACUUCCUCUUCUUCUUUCUCGGUUGCACUGCAAACCAUAUUGAUCAUCUUCUUCUUUCUCGAUUGCACAAAGUUCCCUUUUGGGAGCAAAAACGAAAACUUUCUUUAUUACAAAUAAUUAAUUACUAAAAUUGUGUUCGAACAUUUGUUAUAAACUUAAAUUGAUUUCAAUGUUAUAAGUGUAUGCUAAUUUUCUUAAAAAUUUUAUUUGGGUGUGCUGAAUAAUUUUAUUGGUAUUUUGAGUAAAUAAAGAUGAUUAAUUUAAUUGGUUUAAGUAAGAAAUAUUUUUAGGUACUUUAAAGAAUGCACAAAGUAAAACUUAAUUUCUUAAACUUAUUAGAUAAAUAUAGAUAAUAAUAGAGUGUUCAAAGUAAUUAAUUUUUAGAAUUCAAAUAGCUUCAUCCCUUUUGUAUUAAUCGUCAAAAAAUUGAUUAAUUACUUGGAUUACUCCCCUUGUGAAAGGUCAAUUUUCAAAGUGCCCUCUAAAUUAUUAUAAACUUCAACUUACUCCCACUUUUGUUUAAAAGGUAAGAGAAAAAUAAGAAUGGAUUAAUUAAAAGUUUUCCCCUUUUUAACACAAAUAGAGAAAAACUGAAAUUUAUAAUAAUCUAAAAGUAUAUUGAAAAUUAUUAGUUCAUGAGCGAUAAUCCAAAAUUUACCCCAAUUACUUUCAUUAUCCAUCAAGGUUGGACUCAGGAGAAAAGAGAGGCAUUUUCUUCUUGACCUUUUGUAGUCUAUUGGGAGUAAGUCAUCAAUAUUUUAAGAUAACUAUUGUUGAUGGCGAAAAACGACCUCAACAGCUGAGUUUGUUUCUUUUGGGGGAUUGCAGCGCGAAUCCAACCUCAAACGCAAGUUUGAUCGCAACUUUUUAUACCUGCCAACCAGAAAACAUGGUUAGGAUACGCCGGUGGGGUUCUCACCAAAUAUAAUAUGGCACUAUAACUUAAUACAAUAUAAUAUAAUAUAGCCUAAUAUUAUACAACACAAUACGUUAAAUAUACUCUUAAAGUAGCCACAAUAUAAUCUUAUGAUAAUAAACCUUACGAGACAUGAAACAAACAAAUUUUAAAAAGUUCUCUUCUAGUUCAAGGUCGGUGGCAACAGGAGGGCGGAUGUGGAAUGUCUAUUAAAGAUAAUAAAUAUUCUUUUCUAACUCAUUCACAAGGCCAACAACCGGCGCAUCUGGUGUAGUGGUAUCAUAGUACCCUCCCACGGUACUGACCGGGGUUCGAUUCCCCGGAUGCGCAUUUAAUUAUUUUGCAAUGUUUCUAAAUAAUGCUACGGAUACUUUGGGCCAGUACCAUUUUGAGGGCCUUAUUUUGUUUUAGUUUCGGGAGUACAUAUGCAACACAUGUUUGUUGGGCUACAUUCAAAAAAUAUAGAGUGGGACUAUUGGCACCCCUCUAAAUAUCUCUUAUCACCUCUUUUUUUAAUUAACUUCAUUAUAAUAUUUUAAAAAAUUAUAAAUUCUUUUAACACCUUUAUCAAUGAUAAAAAUAUCUUUAAGUAAAAUUUAUGGUGUAAAUUUCAUUCUCUAAUUUUUUAUUAUUAAAACUCAUUUCAACAACUAGAUUUCUUCUAUUUAAAAAAAAAGAGUUUUUCUUUCUUUUUAUUGUAACCAUUGAUAGUAAAUUCGUCACCUGAAAAUAAAAUAAAAACAACUUUUUUAAUUUCUAAAAUAAAAAAUUAUAUAACUUUUGAGUGGAGUUUAAUUAGAAAUUGUUCUAUUAUGUAAUUUUAAUAAAAGUUAAAAUUGUAAAAUAAUUGAAGGGGUUUUAUGAGGUAUUUAGAGGGUUGUCAAUAGUCUCACUCAAAAAUAUAUUAUAAUAAAAAUAAAACAAAACAACGUAAGUCUUAAUUCCCAUUAAAAUUAGAAGAUAAUUUUUUUUAACUUAAUUAUAUUUUUAAUUUUUUUCAUCUGCUGUACGGCCAAGGCGGAUGUACGGUACAGCAGUUAUUUUAUUUUCAAUUAUGCGCAAUUAAACAUACCGCGGCAUAUUAGGAAGUAAUUCUAGUGAUGUGAUGAUAUUAAUAUAUAAUGUUGCAUGUACUAAUAUUGCUCUUAGGUCAUGUAGAGGAGAAUAGUGAAAUUAAAUUUCAUAGUUUGCUUUAACAUAAAGUUCGAUAGGGAAAGGAAUUACAAUUUUUUUUUUGGGAUAAAUUUAUCCUUGGCCUUAAAUGCUAAAUUACCUAUAUUAGUAAUGAAAUAUAAUUUAAUAUCAAAUUUCCGGCGACGAUCCGGCGGAGCUCCUACGAAGUUCUAGCGACAGUCCGGCAGAGGUUUGGUGAAAUUCCGGCAAAGUUCCAACGACAGUUAAUUUAUAUUUCUAUAUUUUCAUAUUAAAUAAAUAAAUAAGUUUGUUUAUUUUAUUAAGUUUCUUAAAUCAUUGACUAAAUUUAAUUAAUAUAAAAUUACUUAUAAUAUUAAAUUGAUAAAAUAAAAUAAUAAUUAUUAAUUAUUAAUGGCAUUAAAUAAGUUAAAAUGUUGAAGGGUAAUUUUAGAAACUUUAGUUUUCAACAUAAGAGGAAUUUAAAUUCUUCACUCCUUGGUAUGGAAUUCAAAUUCUAUAUUAUAAUGUAUAUUAAAUUUUAAUGAAAAUUAAAUUCUUAUAUAUUUUUUGUAAUCAAACAAUGAAAAUAAAAAUGGAAUUUGAAUCACUUUCCUCUCCACCACUCUCUCCUCCCAACCAAACAUCACCUUAGAGUGUGUUUGGAACACACCACAUUACAUGCCAUCACACUAUAUAGCUAAUGCAAUGCAAUCUCAUGUUUACCCCAUAACAUGAGUAGUGCCCUAUUAAAUAAACUUGAGAAGGGAUCGAUUUGUGUAAUAUGGUACUAUUCACAUUAGUUUUAGUUAAUCUCUUUCUUAAAAUAAUAAAAAAUAAAUACGAAUAUCUAAUAUUAAAUAAAAAUUAAAAACUCAAAUAUGCUACCGCCAGAGAUAGAUCAACGACAGCUGACUGCAGCUUGUGAUGACAAUAGUGAAGUAUCCGUUUUAAUUACAAAAAUUUAAAUUAUUUAAUUAAUUACAAAUAAUAAAAUAUAAAUGAAUCUUAAAUAUUAAAAUAAACAUUACAAUAUAGUCCUUACUACACCAAAUAUAAUAUGGCACUAUAACUUAAUACAAUAUAAUAUAAUAUAGCCUAAUAUUAUACAACACAAUACGUUAAAUAUACUCUUAAAGUAGCCACAAUAUAAUCUUAUGAUAAUAAACCUUACGAGACAUGAAACAAACAAAUUUUAAAAAGUUCUCUUCUAGUUCAAGGUCGGUGGCAACAGGAGGGCGGAUGUGGAAUGUCUAUUAAAGAUAAUAAAUAUUCUUUUCUAACUCAUUCACAAGGCCAACAACCGGCGCAUCUGGUGUAGUGGUAUCAUAGUACCCUCCCACGGUACUGACCGGGGUUCGAUUCCCCGGAUGCGCAUUUAAUUAUUUUGCAAUGUUUCUAAAUAAUGCUACGGAUACUUUGGGCCAGUACCAUUUUGAGGGCCUUAUUUUGUUUUAGUUUCGGGAGUACAUAUGCAACACAUGUUUGUUGGGCUACAUUCAAAAAAUAUAGAGUGGGACUAUUGGCACCCCUCUAAAUAUCUCUUAUCACCUCUUUUUUUAAUUAACUUCAUUAUAAUAUUUUAAAAAAUUAUAAAUUCUUUUAACACCUUUAUCAAUGAUAAAAAUAUCUUUAAGUAAAAUUUAUGGUGUAAAUUUCAUUCUCUAAUUUUUUAUUAUUAAAACUCAUUUCAACAACUAGAUUUCUUCUAUUUAAAAAAAAAGAGUUUUUCUUUCUUUUUAUUGUAACCAUUGAUAGUAAAUUCGUCACCUGAAAAUAAAAUAAAAACAACUUUUUUAAUUUCUAAAAUAAAAAAUUAUAUAACUUUUGAGUGGAGUUUAAUUAGAAAUUGUUCUAUUAUGUAAUUUUAAUAAAAGUUAAAAUUGUAAAAUAAUUGAAGGGGUUUUAUGAGGUAUUUAGAGGGUUGUCAAUAGUCUCACUCAAAAAUAUAUUAUAAUAAAAAUAAAACAAAACAACGUAAGUCUUAAUUCCCAUUAAAAUUAGAAGAUAAUUUUUUUUAACUUAAUUAUAUUUUUAAUUUUUUUCAUAUAAAGAGGCCACUACUCAGAAAGUAUGAUUAAGUGGAAAGAUAUUUUAGAGAAGAUAGUAAAAUAUCCUUCAAUUAUUUUCUUCUCUUCUAUUUAUUAUUUGUUAUCGUGCCACUUUUAAUCUCUAACUUAAAUAUCAAAGGGUAGGUUGAUAAUACCUCCAUCGAUAGUACCCUUGGCAAUCUCUUAUGGGUUAUUAUUUUAUAGGAUUCCGACUAUCGAACUCUUCAAUCUUAAUAAUGACAACCCUAAGUACAUCAAGUUCAUAACUCGUUCUUUUAAGAAAAACAACUCUUACUGUAUGGUCAAAUUCUUUGUAUCUAGCAGUUGGUGCUAAAACACUACCGUUGGGUUCAAACACACUCUUCGACGAAUCAAAAUUGGGAGUUGCUCAGCUUUGCAAAACAAAAAUGGUGUUGCCAGCUUACCAACACAAGAGCAAAAGAAUACAAACUAUGAAAUAAGUAUUAAUUAAUAGAAAAACAGAGAAAAGAAAAUGAGUCUCAAAACACACCAAAACAUGAGUAAAAUCAAACCGUUGUUCGCGGCAACUACACUACCACCAGAAUCGGUGGUCGUUCGUAAAACCUCUAAAAAAGGAUAUAUGGACUAAAGCUGCAAACUUCUUACAGAAGCACUGCCGCAAACCGGCGGAUUCAUUCGAGAUUUUCUCAUAUCAUUCACCUUGUUUGUCCUCAUUUUCUCAUGUUAUCUAUCAUGUGCCCCUUCAUUAAUUCAUUAUGAUGGCUGGAAUGCUGCCGUUUUGCUUAUAAGGUUUGUGUUGCCAUUUUCAAUGAGAAUAAUACUUAACGCAUGCAGUUUGAAGAGAUAAAUCAAAAUUAGUAGUCAAGCCAACUCUCAACGUGACCCCAAAGAAUGCAAAGCUCAGCUUGCUUUCCACUUCGAGUGCCUUUGAAACGACACAAUCUCCACCGUCCAGCAAUAUCGUUAUAAAAUAAAUUUGCCUAAAAUGACAUCAAGUAUUAUCUAUGCUCCGAAUGAACCCUUCAAGUGAUCAUGUCGUCUCCGGAACCCAAACACCCAUCGAAUCUGUUGAAUCAUCCAUCCAAAAUCUACUCAAAAGCUUUUACAGAAGGCUUGAAUAUUGGAAACUCCUUUUGAAUGCCUCCGAAGAACAAAACCAGCAGCUGAUCACUAAAGCAGCACCAUGGAGAAAUCAGCUAGCCAGUUUUCUAGAGUCAACCACAGUUCGGGCAAUCACAAUGUCACUGCUUCUCUUGGAUCUUCUCUUCACAAUUCUUGAACUCGCCUCUUCUCUAUUACAUUCUUGUGCUCCCAAAAAGAACGAUUACUCUGAUUCUUUAGAUGAUCAUCAGCAAGUUUGGUACCACUGGGUUGGGGUUGCAAUAUUAUGUGUAGUUUCUUUAAAGACUAUGGCUCUAGCAGUAGCUCUAGGCAGGGGAUUCUUUAGACGGCCAGGCAAUGUGAUUGAUGGUGUGGUUGUUAUUGGGGCUGUAUUCUUGGAAGCGUUUUUGGAGAGAAGAGGAGGGGGGUUGCUGGUAAUUGUAAGUUUGUGGCGUGUUAUGAGGGUUGUUGAGAGUGCCUUUGAGUUGAGCGAUGAGGCCAUCGAGGCACAAAUUCAAAGUAUUUUAUGCCAGGUUCAGGCCCUCCGUGAUGAGAAUAUUAAACUUAACGAGAUCAUUGCUGAAAAGGAUGUUAUUAUUGACAUGCUCCGGGAACAACUGUAUCAAUAUUGUCAACAACAUGCGAGCACUAGCGCAAUGCAUUGAAAAGCUUAAGAAAAUAUAGAAUAUCUUCUUCUUCUUCUUUGUGUGUUUUUAAAUUUAUUUUGAUUUACUUUUUAAAAUAUUCAUAAUUCUGUCGACACUUGUGACCACUAAUCAGAGACUUAACUAAAAAUUUUGUUUAAACUUUAACAUCAUAAAUUUUAGUACCAGCGAAAUUAUCGGUUAAAAAAUAGCCCAAAAAAAUUCAAUUUGUUCAGCGAUUCACCCAUUAUUUACAAAUUAUAUUUACUAGUCAUACCCAAUUAUAUUUACCAACCAAACAUGACAAAUUAUUAAAUUAUUCAACCGGUGAUUGCGUUCAAAUCUAAAUUUAAUAAAUAAACAUGUAAUCAACUGAUUUAUUUUUGCCGACUAAAGACCAGACGUGUUACUGACACGUGUGGAGCCCCGACUUGAACAGCUGCCUGAUAUUGAAAGAUGAAAAGAAUUUGAUACAUCCUUAUCCACAUCGACGAUUUGAAAUAAUUAGUCUUAACAUAGACACAAGUCACUGAAACGGCAUACACAAGAAGCUGAAGCAUCAUCAUCAUCAUCAUCAUCAUCAUCUUCAUCUUACAUACAAAGGAUCAUACUUAAGCUGUGUAUUAACCAAACAUCAUUCACUUCAAUUUACAAUCAUACCCAUCACAGAGUAUCCAGAAGUAAGCCAUAGAAACAACCAGAGAGCCAAAAUGAAAAAAAAAAAAAAAAAAAAAAAAAAAAAAAAAAAAUUUUUAAAAAAAAAAAAAAAAUGAAUAUUGAAAGAUGAAAAGAAUUUGAUACAUCCUUAUCCACAUCGACGAUUUGAAAUAAUUAGUCUUAACAUAGACACAAGUCACUGAAACGGCAUACACAAGAAGCUGAAGCAUCAUCAUCAUCAUCAUCAUCAUCAUCUUCAUCUUACAUACAAAGGAUCAUACUUAAGCUGUGUAUUAACCAAACAUCAUUCACUUCAAUUUACAAUCAUACCCAUCACAGAGUAUCCAGAAGUAAGCCAUAGAAACAACCAGAGAGCCAAAUAAAAAAAAAAAAAAAAAAAAAAAAAACAGAAGAAAUAAUUUAUUAAAAAAAAAAAAAACUAAAAGUGACCACUUUUAGUUGUUUUCAGACUUGCUUGGGGUCAAUACCAACAGACUUGAGAGUCUCGACACGGUGUUUAUGAGCAUAAGCAUCUUUACGGAUGGGAUCAGGUACAGGAUGAUCACCGUAGUCAAACUCCUGAACGUGCGCCACCUUUCUGAAGAACGACUUGUUCAGGAACUUCUCAGCAUCGCUCACCACCUUGUCGGGGUCGUUCACUUCCGGCACGGUCUCUCGCGUCUUCCUCCUCACGUACACGUUCGGCGAGCGCGCCAGCUGCUGCGUCGCCGUGACCAGCCCCAGAGACACCGACAGUGUUAUCAUGCCAAUCGCCAUGCACACCGGCACAUAAUCGCCCUUCUGAACUGGUUUUGGAAACUGUAAUUUUGGCCUUGGUUGCUCUUGAAAAUGGGCGUAAUCGGCUGCGGUGGGCGCGUAGGAUUUACCUUUCGGAGUUGUUGAGGUUGCAUAAGUUGCAGUACUUCCUCUUAAGCCACCCAUUAGUGACCUUAAA
RNAcentral lists this long non-coding RNA (19011 nucleotides) under Citrus sinensis (sweet orange). RNAcentral describes it as "long non-coding RNA (CSIN_LNC003042)". The stretch from base 12750 to 12820 matches the Rfam family "tRNA". The record is from RNAcentral. Lineage: Eukaryota; Viridiplantae; Streptophyta; Magnoliopsida; Sapindales; Rutaceae.